CAGACGUGAGGCAGCAGGGAGGAAGAGGGGGCAAGGGACGAGAGUCUGAACCAGCCAAGGAGCGUGAAGGAUGACUGCCCUAUGGGUUGUAAACUUCUUUUAUAAAGGAAUAAAACGAGGCACGUGUGCCUUUUUGCAUGUACUUUAUGAAUAAGGAUCGGCUAACUCCGUGCCAGCAGCCGCGGUAAUACGGAGGAUCCGAGCGUUAUCCGGAUUUAUUGGGUUUAAAGGGAGCGUAGAUGGGUUGUUAAGUCAGUUGUGAAAGUUUGCGGCUCAACCGUAAAAUUGCAAUUGAUACUGGCAGUCUUGAGUACAGUUGAGGUAGGCAGAAUUCGUGGUGUAGCGGUGAAAUGCUUAGAUAUCACGAAGAACCCCGAUUGCGAAGGCAGCUUACUAAACUGUGACUGACAUUGAUGCUCGAAAGUGUGGGUAUCAAACAGGAUUAGAUACCCCAGUAGUC
This 460-nucleotide ribosomal RNA is filed under the name uncultured bacterium. RNAcentral describes it as "partial 16S ribosomal RNA". It matches the Rfam family "Bacterial small subunit ribosomal RNA", at positions 338 to 795 of the family's 1533-position model. The record is from RNAcentral.